AUUUGAGUAGUUUAUAAAAAAUAUAGAGUUGUGGUUUCUAAGAAACAAAUAAGUCUUAAGUU
Molecule: transfer RNA, 62 nt
Filed under: Phlogotettix sp. EMHAU-15090801
Lineage: Eukaryota; Metazoa; Arthropoda; Insecta; Hemiptera; Cicadellidae
Description: tRNA-His
Source: RNAcentral